Molecule: ribosomal RNA, 483 nt
Filed under: uncultured bacterium
Lineage: Bacteria
Description: partial 16S ribosomal RNA
Rfam family: Bacterial small subunit ribosomal RNA
Source: RNAcentral
AUUGAACGCUGGCGGCAUGCCUUACACAUGCAAGUCGAACGGCAGCACGGACUUCGGUCUGGUGGCGAGUGGCGGACGGGUGAGUAAUGUAUCGGAACGUACCUUUCAGUGGGGGAUAACGUAGCGAAAGUUACGCUAAUACCGCAUAGUCUGUGAGCAGGAAAGCCGGGGAUCGAAAGACCUUGCGCUGAUUGAGCGGCCGAUAUCAGAUUAGCUAGUUGGUGGGGUAAAGGCCUACCAAGGCGACGAUCUGUAGCGGGCCUGAGAGGAUGAUCCGCCAAACUGGAACUGGGACACGGUCCAGCUCCCUACGGGAGGCAGCAGUGGGGAAUUUUGGACAAUGGGGGCAACCCUGCUCCAGCAAUGCCGCGUGAGUGAAGAAGGCCUUCGGGUUGUAAAGCUCUUUCGGCCGGGAAGAAAUCGCAUAGGCUAAUACCCUGUGUGGAUGACGGUACCGGAAUAAGAAGCACCGGCUAACUACGU